RNAcentral lists this long non-coding RNA (1220 nucleotides) under Capsicum annuum. RNAcentral's name for it is "long non-coding RNA (CANN_LNC013380)". The record is from RNAcentral. Lineage: Eukaryota; Viridiplantae; Streptophyta; Magnoliopsida; Solanales; Solanaceae.
ACAAGAUAAACUUUUCUAGUUUACAACUUUCAAUAUUUAUAGCUAUCCUCAUUUGAUAAUCUAAAAUGAAGUAAUUUUAUUUAAAAGUUUCCAAAUUAAUUAAAACAUGUAAUUGAUUAUUAUUAUUAUUAUUAUUGUUGUUGUUGUUGUUGAGAAAACAUGUAAUUGAUAAUGCAAGAGGCUAGAUUUUCUCCAUAUUGUUAGGACAGUUAGGUAAAUAUAAGCUUUUUUGGAAAAUAAAAUAAUAAUAAUUAAGUUCACGAUAUAUUAAUCUAAAAAGAAGUUAUUGAGUUCAUGUAAACGAAAUUCUAGAUCCACCAUGAAUUGUAUAAAGAGGCUAUGUUUUCUUAUAACUACUUGAUUUUCUUGUACAUAAGCUAUGUUCAUUGUAUGAACAAUGAGAUCUUAAAAACAGGAAGAGAAUCAUAUCAAGAGACUUAUAAGGAAGCAAAAUCUUUUAAAUUAAUUACUACUGUAAUAUUUUUGUAUAACAGUAGCAUUAGUACUAGCCUCAUCGUUGUUAUAUUAUAUUGUUGUUACAUAAUUAGCCAUGUCAUGAAUUCUUUAUUAUAUGUUUUGUUGUUACUUGAGCCGAGGUUUUUUCGAAAAUAAUAUGUGAAAAGGUCUACGACUACGUACACUUUAUCCUCUCAGGAUUACAUUUGUGAAAUUACACUUGAAUAUGUCAUUGUUUAUAACUAAUGUUUGAAUUGUCUCUUUUUUCUACCAUAUCCAAAAGUUCGUUCAACUAUAUUUGAAGUUUCAAUUUUUCCUCAUAAUAUCCAAGAUUAUAGAAUUGGAGAUCAUUUGACAAUCAUGAUCAAGAAAUUACUAAUUAGGACCUCAUGGUUAUUAUCUCGCCUCCCCUUAUGGAAAAUGACAAUUGCAAUAGUGUAACCAGUGGCGGCGCCAGGAUUUUCAUUGAGGGGUUCAGAAGUAAACAUACGGACUAAUCGAAGGGGGUUUAACAUCUACUAUAUAUAUAUAAAAAUAAUUUUGACCGUAUAAAAAUCAUUGGGCUCAUCUACUAUUUUUAGACAGUUAAUGAAUAAAAUUUACUGCAUUUAAUGGUGUAACUUAAUAGUCAAUCAAGUUGAGGUCCAAAUUGUAACUAUUAAUUUUUUUCUUGAUAAAUAGAGUUACUUGACAUAUAUGUUUUCGAAAGAUAGCAUUACCUCAAUAAGCUCAUCUAUGUGAGCAAAAAUGACAAAUUAAGUCUA